GACGAACGCUGGCGGCGUGCUUAACACAUGCAAGUCGAACGGAAAGGCCCUGCUUUUGUGGGGUGCUCGAGUGGCGAACGGGUGAGUAACACGUGAGUAACCUGCCCUUGACUUUGGGAUAACUUCAGGAAACUGGGGCUAAUACCGGAUAGGAGCUCCUGCUGCAUGGUGGGGGUUGGAAAGUUUCGGCGGUUGGGGAUGGACUCGCGGCUUAUCAGCUUGUUGGUGGGGUAGUGGCUUACCAAGGCUUUGACGGGUAGCCGGCCUGAGGGGGUGACCGGCCACAUUGGGACUGAGAUACGGCCCAGACUCCUACGGGAGGCAGCAGUGGGGAAUAUUGCACAAUGGGCGGAAGCCUGAUGCAGCAACGCCGCGUGCGGGAUGACGGCCUUCGGGUUGUAAACCGCUUUCGCCUGUGACGAAGCGUGAGUGAAGGUAAUGGGUAAAGAAGCACCGGCUAACUACGUG
This 468-nucleotide ribosomal RNA is filed under the name uncultured bacterium. RNAcentral's name for it is "partial 16S ribosomal RNA". It matches the Rfam family "Bacterial small subunit ribosomal RNA", at positions 28 to 507 of the family's 1533-position model. The record is from RNAcentral.